GAUGAACGCUGGCGGCGUGCUUAACACAUGCAAGUCGAACGGAAAGGCUCCUGCUUGCAGGGGUACUCGAGUGGCGAACGGGUGAGUAACACGUGGGUGAUCUGCCCUGCACUUCGGGAUAAGCCUGGGAAACUGGGUCUAAUACCGGAUAGGACGAUGGUUUGGAUUCCAUUGUGGAAAGUUUUUCGGUGUGGGAUGAGCUCGCGGCCUAUCAGCUUGUUGGUGGGGUAAUGGCCUACCAAGGCGUCGACGGGUAGCCGGCCUGAGAGGGUGUACGGCCACAUUGGGACUGAGAUACGGCCCAGACUCCUACGGGAGGCAGCAGUGGGGAAUAUUGCACAAUGGGCGCAAGCCUGAUGCAGCGACGCCGCGUGGGGGAUGACGGCCUUCGGGUUGUAAACUCCUUUCGCUAGGGACGAAGCGCAAGUGACGGUACCUGGAGAAGAAGCACCGGCUAACUACGUG
RNAcentral lists this ribosomal RNA (465 nucleotides) under uncultured bacterium. RNAcentral describes it as "partial 16S ribosomal RNA". It matches the Rfam family "Bacterial small subunit ribosomal RNA", at positions 28 to 507 of the family's 1533-position model. The record is from RNAcentral.